AACGAACGCUGGCGGCAUGCCUAACACAUGCAAGUCGAACGAGACCUUCGGGUCUAUGGGCGCACGGGUGCGUAACGCGGGGGAACCUGCCCUUAGGUUCGGAAUAACUCCCCGAAAGGGGUGCUAAUACCGGAUAAUGUCUUCGGACCAAAGAGUUAUGGCCUUUGGAUGGGCCCGCGUUGGAUUAGCUAGUUGGUAGGGUAAAAGCCUACCAAGGCGACGAUCCAUAGCUGGUCUGUGAGGAUGAUCAGCUACACUGGGACUGAGACACGGCCCAGACUGCUACGGGAGGGAGCAGUGGGGAAUACUAGGCAAUGGGCGAUAGCCUGAUAAAGCAAUGCCGCGUAAGUGAUGAAGGGCUUAGGGUUGUACAGCUGUUUUACACGGGAUGAUAAUGACGGUAACGGGAGAAUAAGCUCCGGCUAACUCCGUG
Molecule: ribosomal RNA, 433 nt
Filed under: uncultured bacterium
Lineage: Bacteria
Description: partial 16S ribosomal RNA
Rfam family: Bacterial small subunit ribosomal RNA
Source: RNAcentral